UCUGGGAAGGGGCAGGGGCGUGUGCCCGAAGAAUCCGACAGGCGCCGCCUCUUUUGUCGGUUUGUCCCAGAAAGGCUGUUUUUGCUCUCCCAGCUGCAGACUUUCCCAUUACUGUUCCGUGAAUAGAACAAAUAUUUCGUUUGUAUAUUAGUUGUGGAUGAUGGUUUAUGCAUCUUCAGCUCUGCAGACCUGCAUGAUUUGUUCUGACAUCUACUUCAGACCAUUGCUGCCUUGACUUCCCCACAGGACGGACUCAGAGUCUUGCCAUGUGAUACCUUGCUCUACUUUGGGGACUCGGCCAUCAAGAAGCCCAUCCAUUAUCAGAUAUGAUCCCUUGGACCAGGACCUUGAGGCAAAAUGAACCUUCUUUCUUUAUAGCUUCACCAACCUACAGCAGUGUGCUGUCAGCAAAGUGAAAAAGACCGAGUCAUCGCUGAAGGUUUUACCUGUAUCCUUAUGCAACCACCACCCUCCCCACCCUCUCUGAGGAGAGCACUGUCCUGAUCUCCAUCCUUAGAAAUUACUUUUGGGCACUUUGCAUGGUCAAAUGGAAUCAUACAGUCCACGCUCUUUCAAUGUCUACCUUCUUUUGCUCCCGCCUUUCUGAGACCCACCCAUGUGACCUGUAAAUGGCAUUGGAGGCUGUGUGUAUCAUAGUCUGUUCCUUCCUAUUACCCAGCGAUGUCCCGUUGAAUGAAUGCACCAUCUUUCUUUCUCUUUCUUCCAGGAGGGAGUAUUUCAAUCAGGAGAAAAAUUUAUACAAGGAUAUAUAUUUCAUAGUUAAAACAAGAAAUUGCUUACCUUGAGAAAAAAAACGGAUGGGAGGGAAAGCCCUUAAAAACCAAAAGCAUAAAGUUUGCUCCCCUCCGACCCAGACAGGCUGAGUUCUGGUCACCUGAGAAUGUGGAUAAGGCCAUUGUGGAUCUGGCCCAGGGCCAGGCUGGGGAACUUGGGAGCUGGCUGUGUAGUAGGAGCAGGGUUGUUGGGUGUCAGCUACUUUGGGAGUCUACAUUAGCCUGAGGCUAUUUCCAGGACAACUUCAUCCACAGUGUCCACUUGUGGCAAAGGCCUUCUCCUGGAGAAGAAGAGUGAGCACACCUGCUCUCUCUUCCCAUCCUUUCGGACACCCUCACCCCUUGCUCAGCUAAACCCACUUCCCAUGAGGGCAAGGGGUUGUGGGCAGGGGGCUACAUCAGACUUGGCUCACUGGCAUCCACGUGUACUGUCUCUGUGUUGAGAUGUAACAGUGAAGAGGCCCACGGAGGCUUAUGUGUGAACAGUAGUUUUCCAGCUUGUGGUUUUGGGAGGUUAUAGCAUCUUUAGGAGAUGGAGAGGUGGGUCACUGAGGGGCUGGCCUCAGAACUACACGGCCCUGCUUCCGGUCCAAGCUUUCUGUUUCCUGACUACCCGAGUGAUAACCAACUCUCUCUCGCUUCUCAUGCAACAGCUCUGAGCUCCUCUGUCACCAGGCCUCCUCAGCGCUGAUGGACUGUGUUGCUUAACCUCUGUGUGAACCCAUGACAUUACCCACUGAGUGGUGCCGAGCAGUGACCUGCAGGGAGGAGACAGCAGUGAGAACGGCCUGGGGAUCCUAACCUGGGCGCAUGCUGUCCCUUCUGGAGACUCACAACUGGCAGCUCAUGGCCGUUGCUCUUCAAAGACUGGAAAGUGCAUCUUCUCUUCACUAGGCAAAAUGUGACAGAAGAAUCUGGGGACGCCUCCGGCUGAAUGUUAUGCAAAGUCUCUCAUUUAAUGCAUCGAAGAGAUGAAAUCUAAGUUUCUUUCUAAAAUUGGCUUCUAUACCUUGUGUAUCAGCUAUUUCACCCAAUCUGUUCCCCUGUUUUAUUCCUGUUUUAGUUAUUGAAGUAUUUUAAAGGUAUUUCAGGAGGCAUGCUCGUAUCUUACCAUUUUUCAUUUCGAAGAAAGGUUGUAACAGUUUUUUUUUUUUCACCUUACUGUUUUAUUUUCUGUGUGUGGGCAUUUUUCCUGCUUGUAUGUCUGUGCACCAUGUGCCUGGCUACCUGCAGAAGCCAAGUGAGGGUGUCAGGUCCCUGGGGAAUCAAGUUACAGCCGGCUGUGAGCGCCACGUGGGUGUGAAAUGAAACCUGGAUCCUUUACUGAGCCAUCCCUCUAGCGUGCCCUUUGUAGCAGUUUUAAUUGGAAAAGAUUUGAUAGGGGGAUUCUGGGCAUUCUUGGG
This is a long non-coding RNA of Psammomys obesus (fat sand rat), 2197 nucleotides long. RefSeq lists it as uncharacterized. The record is from RefSeq and is a predicted model, not a curated record. Lineage: Eukaryota; Metazoa; Chordata; Mammalia; Rodentia; Muridae. The transcript is spliced from 3 exons.